CAUGGAGGCAGUAGAAAGGAGGAGGAAGAGAAAAAGAUCCUUCUUGUGAGCUGGGGCAGACAGAUUCAACUAUGUCCUUCAAGGGAGUCUUCAUUUAGUCUCAGUUGAUAUGCACCGGGUGCUUGGCCCUCCAGCUACAGAAGUGCUGCCUCCUCCCUCUUGUCCUGGUGAGGCCAUGAAGACCAGAUUGCCAUCACAAGGAAAAAUUUGAGAUUAUCGAGUUGCUGCUCUGCUGAAAGCCAGGGGAAGACAUGCUUUUGCCUUUUUAUUAUGAAGGCCCAGAUGAAGAAUGUGCAGCAUCUCAGGCACUGCAGCUGAGCACAAGGAGCCUGUGCUUGAAGAUAAUUUUAUAAGCCACUGCUAUACCCGGGGGGGAUGAAGGAGGAGAGACUGGAAAUAACCUCUCAUCAGGGACUGUACUGGAACAGCAAAUGUCCUUCUUCUCAAGGACAUUAGGUCAGGGCUAUGGCAUUGCAACUGUGAUACACAGAGGGCACAUCUCAUCAUGGGAACAUCUGCAGUUUCUUAGUGCUAAAAAGACCAAAACAAAAAGGAAAAAAAAAAAAAAAAAAAA
Anas platyrhynchos (mallard) is the source of this 574-nucleotide long non-coding RNA. RefSeq lists it as uncharacterized. Lineage: Eukaryota; Metazoa; Chordata; Aves; Anseriformes; Anatidae. The record is from RefSeq and is a predicted model, not a curated record.